AUACCGGCUGCUCGAGUGAUGGCCACUAUUACUGGGUUUAAAGCGUCCGUAGCUUGACUGUUAGGUCUCUUGGGAAAUCUUUUGGCUUAACCAAAAGGCGUCUAAGAGAUACCGGCAUUCUUGGAACUGGGAGAGGUAAGCCGUACUUCGGGGGUAGGAGUGACAUCUUGUAAUCCUCGAGGGACGACCUAUGGCGAAGGCAGCUUACCAGAACAGCUUCGACAGUGAGGGACGAAAGCUGGGGGAGCAAACGGGAUUAGAUACCCCGGUAGUCCCAGCCGUAAACAAUGUGCGUUAGGUGUGUCGGUUACCACGCGUAACUGAUGCGCCGAAGAGAAAUCGUGAAACGCACCACCUGGGAAGUACGGUCGCAAGGCUGAAACUUAAAGGAAUUGGCGGGG
RNAcentral lists this ribosomal RNA (401 nucleotides) under uncultured bacterium. RNAcentral's name for it is "partial 16S ribosomal RNA". It matches the Rfam family "Archaeal small subunit ribosomal RNA", at positions 473 to 873 of the family's 1478-position model. The record is from RNAcentral.